AAGCACCGGGCAAUUAGUGCCAUUAGCAAUGCCACCAGCUCCAGCUCCCUGGGCGUUCGUGGGGGCGGGGGCCCGGCCCCUCCCGGCUGAGCUCAGCUCUGACGUGGGUCCUGCUGAGGAUGCUCUUACUCACAUUGUGCCCUCCUCACGUCACGGAGCAGCAGCACCCUGCCCAGAGGAGCAGGUUGGCUCCCAAGGCUCCCCUGUUCUCUGGAAGGGCACGUUCCCAAACCCCGGAGCUGCUGGUGCUGGCAGCAGCCCCGCUGGGAGAAGGUGACACACGCUCCCCAGCCCUCCCUGUCACCCCAGGGAAGGGCUGGGUCUGCCCUGCCUUCCCGCCGUCCACAGCUCGGGGUUUUGAGUCUCUGAUCUCAGCUGGAGCACCCCCGGGCAGAGCAGCACCUCUGGAGGGACUGGUUCCUGCCGAGCCCCGGCUGCAAACCCCUCGGGAAGGGGGUCCCAGCCUGGGGGCUCAGCAUGGCCCUGGAGCCGGCCAGGGCUGGGGGAAGGAGGAGCAGAGCAGGAACCGGCCGGACUCGUUACACCGGUGACACUCGGGAAGGGUGACUGUGAGUGGCACGCUAACCAUCGUGUCCAGUCUGUAAGGAAUGCACCCAGGAUCCGCCAGGGGAGCAGUCCCGGGAAACGCCUCUGCCCUGGCUGUCAGUCAUUCCCCUGAGCACCUCGGGAUGCCAGCGGAGGAUUUCAAUCAAAUUUGUCAGAGCCAUCGUGUUUCCACAAGCUGGAAUGUGUGUCCGGGCCCGGGGAUCCGCCCAGCCCCAGGAGCAGCCUUCACACCCGGGACGAGGAGGAGGAGGAGGGCAGCCAGGGAGAAACACUGGCACGCUGCAAGGAAAAGCUCACUGGAGAGAUGAAAGGGGAUGGAAACGCCGUGCUGGGUCUAGCGAGCCGCCUGCACGGAGCUGGUGCCACCCCGGGCAGCGGGCCAGGCUGGAGGCAGCAGGGCUGCAGCAAGAUGCUUCUUGCAUGCCGGAGUCAAGACAAAUUCCUGCCGUUUCAGUGAGCUUGGAGCACGGCCAGGUGUCCUUCCAAGAGAAAAAGCUGCAGCUGCAGAAGCCGCAGGCAGCCCCAGGAACGCUCUGCCAGGCUGGGUGGUUUUGGAUGCUCCUGCAGCCUGGAGCAGGCACAGCCCUGUGCAGAGGGGCUGUGGGCACCUGCAGCACCGUGCCACGGUGCCACCAUCCCUGCUCCCAGCACCAGCUACGAGCUGGGCACUGCCCAGGCCACGGGGCUGAACGUGGGGACUGCAUUUACAGCCCUGAAGGAGCAGCCACCCCUGUCCCCAGAGCCAGGCUGAGGGGAGCACUGCAGCAGCACCUGAGCCUGGAUUUCACCCAGCACAGCCUCAGGCACAGCCUGACUGAUCCAUCACCCUCUGCUCAAAGAGGAAAAUAAUGACAGAGUACAGGCUCUGAGAAAUAAUACAGGUUUUUUUUAUUUGACAAUUAACAAAAGAGGGAUGGGAAUCUGGGCUGUAAACAUUGAUAGCUCCUUUCUGAUCACAACGAGUACUUUCCACCAACAUCCCUUUGUAUGCUCUGAUCCACCCAACAAUGCCCAGCCGACUCUGUCAGGGCUUUUGCUGCUCUGCUCAGGGUCACAAAUCCAGAGGCAGCUUAUUCACCACACACCCACAGCAGGACAGCCACCCACACAGGAGACAGCUGAGGGACUAAGACACUUCAGAGCUGCUUCCAUAUGUGAGACACGCUUGCAAAAGGCAGGAGAUCAUGCUGGGUUUGGGCCAGAAGGAGAGAAACAUCUCUAAACGCAGCAGGUCUGCAGAGAAAUGAGCCCUGCAAAAGGCAGAGCCUGCCCAGGCAGGGACAGGGACUGUGACAGUGCCAGCCCAGCAAGAACACCCCAGCCCUGCUGUCAGAGGGAAGCUUUGGCCCAGGACUGUGAAGAUCUGGAGAUGCAGAGCAAGUCUGUCCCAAAGAGGGACUGGCACAUCGUCAGCUCCAUUGUUGCAGUGGAACCAGAACUGCCUGGAGCUUGACAGGGGGAAGUGAAACCUCAUCUUGGGCUGGAGGGCAGCCAGGGCUGGAGGAGCUGCACCCAGCUGCCAGCCCUGCCAGCCGCAGCACACAGCUUCUCCCGGGACAGAGCCCUCCCCAGCACACAGCUUCUCCCGGGACAGAGCCCUCCCCAGCACACAGCUUCUCCCGGGACAGAGCCCUCCUCAGCACACAGCUUCUCCCGGGACAGAGCCCUUCCAGCACACAGAGCCCUUCCAGCACACAGCUUCUCCCGGGACAGAGCCCUCCCCAGUACACUGCUUUUCCCGGGACAGAGCCCUCCCAGUCCUCAGCCUCUCCUCCUCCAGGAGGAAGCAGCCUGCAGGUGGGUCAGCCACACACCAGAAGCAGCCCAAGGGCUUCAGGCACCUCUUGGGGAUGGAGCCAUGGGGAGCCAGCAGGGAGGUCCUGGUGCCACCCCCACCACGGGCACCAGCUGCCACCCCAGCCACCCUCGCCCUGCAGCAACAGGCAAAUGCACAGCUCCAAAGAACAGUGUUUAACACAGAAACCUCCCCCAGCUGCAGCCACAGCACUUCUCAGGGCACAGAGCUGCUCUGGACUCAGGCAGAUCCCAACCAGGGGCUCAGCCUGUCCCUUCCCAGGUGCCCAGCUGGUUCUGAGCCUGGCUUUUGGUGGGAACAGGGUCAGGUCAUCUCCUCGUCACACCACCUGGAUGGACCAGCAAAUAAAAAUAAUCCAACAAAUUUGAAUACA
Serinus canaria (Common canary) is the source of this 2756-nucleotide long non-coding RNA. The record is from Ensembl. NCBI's taxonomy places the organism in Eukaryota, Metazoa, Chordata, Aves, Passeriformes, Fringillidae.